CGACCGCUGGCGGCGUGCUUACCACAUGCUCGUCGAACGGCAAGGCCCUGCUUUUGUGGGGUGCUCGAGUGGCGAACGGGUGAGUAACACGUGAGUAACCUGCCCUUGACUUUGGGAUAACUUCAGGAAACUGGGGCUAAUACCGGAUAGGAGCUCCUGCUGCAUGGUGGGGGUUGGAAAGUUUCGGCGGUUGGGGAUGGACUCGCGGCUUAUCAGCUUGUUGGUGGGGUAGUGGCUUACCAAGGCUUUGACGGGUAGCCGGCCUGAGAGGGUGACCGGCAACAUUGGGACUGAGAUACGGCCCAGACUCCUACGGGAGGCAGCAGUGGGGAAUAUUGCACAAUGGGCGGAAGCCUGAUGCAGCAACGCCGCGUGCGGGAUGACGGCCUUCGGGUUGUAAACCGCUUUCGCCUGUGACGAAGCGUGAGUGACGGUAAUGGGUAAAGAAGCACCGGCUAACUACGUG
This 466-nucleotide ribosomal RNA is filed under the name uncultured bacterium. RNAcentral's name for it is "partial 16S ribosomal RNA". It matches the Rfam family "Bacterial small subunit ribosomal RNA", at positions 30 to 507 of the family's 1533-position model. The record is from RNAcentral.